AUUGAACGCUGGCGGCAGGCCUAACACAUGCAAGUCGAACGAGUGGCGGACGGGUGAGUAAUGUCUGGGAAACGGCCCGAUGGAGGGGGAUAACUACUGGACACGGUAGCUAAUACCGCAUAGCAUCGGAUGGGCCCAGGUGGGAUUAGCUAGUAGGGGGGGUAACGGCUCACCAAGGCGACGAUCCCUAGCUGGUCUGAGAGGAUGACCAGCCACACUGGAACUGAGACACGGUCCAGACUCCUACGGGAGGCAGCAGUGGGGAAUAUGGCACAAUGGGCGCAAGCCUGAUGCAGCCAUGCCGCGUGUAUGAAGAAGGCCUUCGGGUUGUAAAGUACUUUCAGCGAGGAGGCGUUACUCGCAGAAGAAGCACCGGCUAACUCCGUGCCAGCAGCCGCGGUAAUAC
RNAcentral lists this ribosomal RNA (406 nucleotides) under uncultured bacterium. Its description in RNAcentral is "partial 16S ribosomal RNA". It matches the Rfam family "Bacterial small subunit ribosomal RNA", at positions 29 to 526 of the family's 1533-position model. The record is from RNAcentral.